RNAcentral lists this ribosomal RNA (327 nucleotides) under uncultured eukaryote. RNAcentral's name for it is "partial 18S ribosomal RNA". It matches the Rfam family "Eukaryotic small subunit ribosomal RNA", at positions 1470 to 1796 of the family's 1831-position model. The record is from RNAcentral.
CCCUUAGAUGUUCUGGGCCGCACGCGCGCUACACUGACGAAUGCAACGAGCUUAUAACCUUGGCCGAAAGGUCUGGGUAAUCUCCAAAUUUCGUCGUGAUGGGGAUAGAUUAUUGCAAUUAUUAAUCUUCAACGAGGAAUGCCUAGUAAGCGCAAGUCAUCAGCUUGCGUUGAUUACGUCCCUGCCCUUUGGACACACCGCCCGUCGCUCCUACCGAUUGAAUGGUCCGGUGAAGCGUUCGGACCGUGGCCUUUGGACGGUUCGCCGUCUGUUGGCUGCGGGAAGUUCGUUAAACCUUAUCAUUUAGAGGAAGGAGAAGUCGUAACA